UUAUGAUAGUCCCAACCUCUCAAGAGUCCUCUCCUUUUCCUAGAUUGAUUUUUUCCCAUGUUGCUGCAGGAUCCUCUCCUUUCCUCGAUCUGGCAGACCGUGUUGCUACAGGAUUCUUACCUUUCUCUCGAUCUGUCAGGUUGACGAGUCCUGCGGCUGGUGGCGCUCCAAUUCAUCGCCAGCAAGCGGAAGCUGGAGCCUCGCGCCUUGAGGUAAAAAUCGGUUGUCAAGAAUGUGAGGCAUGGGAUCUACAAUUGCUGAUUUCGGUUAGAUUGUCUUAUAUAAGGAUCCUGGAGCAUCAAUCAUGCUCUGCCUCACCACAUCAUACCUCUCACCAAUGAGGACGGCAUAAAAGAUAGAGCCAUUCUUGAGUCGGCACCUGUGUGCAUGCAGCGCUGCCACCUCAUGUAGUUGCUUCAAGACAAUAGCGUGUCCCGCCCCGAGUGGCACACAUGGCUGACGGCCGAGAUGGCACCGGUGUAGGAGCUUCUGUAGGAGGAGAAGUCAGGAGCUCGGACCAUCAGUGUGGCCUGAUGCCUCUCUUGGAUGUAGUAUGUAGGUAACAACAGCUAAACUCUUAUGAGGACAAAAUCUAUCCGAUGGAACUUCUUUAAGCUCAACAACCAGGUAUGCAAAGUGGCCCUUUUCCUCUGCCCAGCUCCAAUCUUGAAAUAUCCAUCUUCCUCUCGGAGCUGCACAUGAUUUUUAGGUAAUGCAUACUGAAAAAUAGCUGAAGGAACAAUAGCUGAUGCCGAUUGUAUAGCCUUUUCUUAUAAGACAAGUUAUAUGAAAAUCCGUAUUUGCCGCAAUCGAUUCUUAUAAAUUGUGAUGCUGCAAGUGAUACUUAUUAUUGUUGGAUGCAAUUUCUGAACAAUAUGAGCAGGCAAUGCCCUAGAAACAAGAUGUUGAAGAAAAUCAAUUGGCUGAAGAACUACUGAUCGGUAGUAGUGUUGGGUUAUCUGGGAAUAAUACAGUAGCAACCAUGGUGUCAAAGUUUC
This is a long non-coding RNA of Triticum aestivum (bread wheat), 998 nucleotides long. RefSeq lists it as uncharacterized. The record is from RefSeq and is a predicted model, not a curated record. NCBI's taxonomy places the organism in Eukaryota, Viridiplantae, Streptophyta, Magnoliopsida, Poales, Poaceae. The transcript is spliced from 3 exons.